Sarcophilus harrisii (Tasmanian devil) is the source of this 507-nucleotide long non-coding RNA. RefSeq lists it as uncharacterized. The record is from RefSeq and is a predicted model, not a curated record. The transcript is spliced from 2 exons. Lineage: Eukaryota; Metazoa; Chordata; Mammalia; Dasyuromorphia; Dasyuridae.
CAGGACAAACAACAUCAAAACACCACCUGUUCUCUAUCUAGCUACCAGAACAUCUGCCUGUUGUUCAUUGUUGCUUCUCCCUAAUACUCAUUCGUUGCCAUCAGACUAUUCUGAUGAGUUCUCAGAAACAAAGAAAUAUCCCUAUUCGCUACUGUUUGCUCUCUCUUUCCAAUACAUUAAAAGAGGUCUCAUAAAGCAAGGAAAAUUGAGGAGAAGCCUAGCUGGAAUCUAAGUGUCUUAUUAUUCAAGGACCAAGUAGCCAUAUUUGGAGAGGCUGAUAACAAGAUCAAUUGAAAAAAGAUGAAUUUUUCAACUGUGUCAACUUGUGAAGACCAUUUUUAAGACAGAAGUUGUGAAUUGUGUGUUCUUGUGGGAGGAGCCACAGGGGUUUUUCAGGAUGAAAUGCUACUUAGAAAAAGAACCAUAGAGGGGAGGCAAUCACACAGGACACUCGUUCUCAAACUUUUGUUCUAAAAUGAAAAUAGAAUAAAAAUAAUCUUAAACGAG